UAAAACCCCAUUUUACAGCGGUUGAUAUUGUAGUAACACGUUUAUUUGUCAUUGUUUUGUGCGCUUCGCUGGCUGCUUUUCCUGACGCACCAAUACAGCGCAUUUUUCAGCAGAGGUCAUUGUGAGAUCGCAAGUUGGGAGAAUGACAGCUUGAGUGUUGUUCUCGUUGAUUGCUGUUUUAUCGUGUCUGUUCGGAUACUUGAGCAUAACAGAUGCUACUCCAGGACAAACCACAGGGUCUGCUCUGGAGGACACAAAUGCUGUCGAUUUGACUGUGGGCCUGUUUCCAGUGAGUUUCAGUAAAUAAUGGAUGCUAGGGGUCCUCCAAAAGUAACGCAUUGAAUUCACCAGGAGAGUGUCCACCCCAAUCAUUAACAAGAGGAUCGUGUACCAGGUCCUGUGAGUGACUCUAACUGUCCCAGCGACUAGAAGUGCUGUGGCAAUGGAUGUGGACGUUACUGUAAGGCUCCAUAUACAGUGAAGCCGGGUCAAUGUCCCAAACCGAAGAGCAUUCCACGGUGUGCUGAAAGGUGUUUCCACGAUGGCCGGUGUCCUGCCACAGAAAUGUUGCCAAACCACCAGUGGCAGAGCAUGCAGUGAACCACGUGGUCAGGGACAUGGUCCGGGAGGUUGCCA
Sinocyclocheilus grahami is the source of this 636-nucleotide long non-coding RNA. RefSeq lists it as uncharacterized. The transcript has 4 exons. Lineage: Eukaryota; Metazoa; Chordata; Actinopteri; Cypriniformes; Cyprinidae. The record is from RefSeq and is a predicted model, not a curated record.